Molecule: ribosomal RNA, 398 nt
Filed under: uncultured bacterium
Lineage: Bacteria
Description: partial 16S ribosomal RNA
Rfam family: Bacterial small subunit ribosomal RNA
Source: RNAcentral
AUUGGGCAAUGGGCGAAAGCCUGACCCAGCAACGCCGCGUGAAGGAUGACGGUCUUCGGAUAGUANACUUCUUUAAUUGGGGAAGANAAAAAUGACCUACCCAAAGAAUAAGUAACGGCUAACUACGUGCCAGCAGCCGCGGUAAUACGUAGGUGACAAGCGUUAUCCGGAUUUACUGGGCGUAAAGGGCGUGUAGGCGGUCUUGCAAGUCAGAAGUGAAAUUCCUGAGCUCAACUCGGGCGCUGCUUCUGAAACUGCAGGACUUGAGUGCUGGAGGGGAUAGCGGAAUUCCUAGUGGAGCGGUAAAAUGCGCAGAUAUCAGGAAGAACACCGGUGGCGAAGGCGGCUAUCUGGACAGUAACUGACGCUGAGGCGCGAAAGCGUGGGGAGCAAACAGG